This is a long non-coding RNA of Nerophis ophidion (straightnose pipefish), 2195 nucleotides long. RefSeq lists it as uncharacterized. The record is from RefSeq and is a predicted model, not a curated record. The transcript has 3 exons. Lineage: Eukaryota; Metazoa; Chordata; Actinopteri; Syngnathiformes; Syngnathidae.
ACGCUUUCACUUUUGGUUGAGUAAUGUUUAACUAGCUUCCGGUGAUGACGAAACGGCCGGUACACGAACAAAAACUAAAAAUUUAGCGCAACCCUGAAACUUGUUGCAGGUUUCAUGCACGCGAACAAGAAAACAAGACUGGAAAAAUUCCGUCUGUCGUUUGCCAGCAUGUGAGAGUGCUGUUUAUCUGCAUGGGUCCAUCAUGUUCCUGCUGCGGAUGUUCUUGAAAUGCAAAGUGGCGUUACCCCAGAUGUCUGCGGGCGGACCACCGACAAUCAAUGUGAGACAAAUGAUGUGGUCCUGAUGGCUUCAUCUGACCGGGAUCUUCAGCUCUCACUGGAUCGGUUCGCAGCCGAGUGUGAAGCGACCGGAAUGAGAAUCAGCACCUCCAAGUCCGAGUCCAUGGUUCUCGCCCGGAAAAAGGUGGAGUGCCAUCUCCGGGUUGGGGAGGAGACCCUGCCCCAAGUGGAGGAGUUCAAAUACCUUGGAGUCUUGUUCACUUCACAAGUGGGGGAAGAGUGGAUCGUGAGAUUGACAGGUGGAUCGGUGCGGCGUCUUCAGUAAUGCAGACGUUGUAUCGAUCCGUCGUGGUGAAGAAGGAGCUGAGCCGGAAGGCAAAGCUCUCAAUUUACCAGUCGAUCUACGUUCCCAUCCUCACCUAUGGUCAUGAGCUUUGGGUCAUGACCGAAAGGAUAAGAUCACGGGUACAAGCGGCCGAAAUGAGUUUCCUCCGCCGGGUGGCGGUGCUCUCUCUUAGAGAUAGGGUGAGAAGCUCUGCCAUCCAGGAGGAGCUCAAAGUAAAGCCGCUGCUCCUCCACAUUGGUGGUCAGGAUGCCACCCGAACGCCUCCCUAGGGAGGUGUUUAGAGCACGUCCAACCGGUAGGAGGCCACGGGGAAGACCCAGGACACGUUGGGAAGACUAUGUCUCCCGGCUGGCCUGGGAACACCUCGGGAUCCCCCGGGAAGAGCUGGACGAAGUGGCUGGGGAGAGGGAAGUCUGGGCUUCCCUGCUUAAGCUGCUGCCCCCGCGACCCGACCUCAGAUAAGCGGAAAAAGAUGGAUGGAUGGAACGGCAGACAGAAAUACCCAUUUUUAUAUAUAUAUAUAUAUAUAUAGAUUUAUUUAUUAAAAGUAAAUUGAGCAAAUUGGCUAUUUCUGGCAAUUUAUUUAAGUGUGUAUCAAACUGGUAGCCCUUCGCAUUAAUCAGUACCCAAGAAGCAGCUCUUGGUCUCAAAAAGGUUGGUGAACCCUGAGGUAAGAUAACGUGUCACUUAUCAUCUGGCAACCCUGGUCCUGUGAGGUAGCUGCCCGUCCACCUCCAUUGACUACACGGGAGCGUCAUUAAAAACAUGGAGCUUGUUGUGAGCAGCGUUUUGUAGACAAUUGGUGUAUUUAAGGUGGUUAUUGGUGAAAAUGCAAAGGUAGAGUAGAGAAAAGAAGCUUGAAGGAGCGAGCAGCCACGCAGGCACUCACAUAACAAUCCUUCUUUCAUGACGUCACUGCUUUUUUUUUUUUUUUUACUUCAACACAGCAAGCGUUGACACAACUGCUAAUUUAAUGACACAUACGUGCGACGUUGUUAGUAAGAAUGUAAUAAUUCAAGUGAAUAUGCGGCUAUGUUUGUACAAAGGUCAUAAUUAAAGUGUUACUUUUGUGUCAACGUCAGCUAGCUGCUUCCAUGCACUUACAGGCUAGCGAGGAAGCUAAUGUGUCGUCUUCUCACCUUGCCGUCAUAUGCUGGCCAUCUUUCAGGAAUGACGCUCUCGACAAUGUUUCCCCCACUGGAGUUGUUGGCAAUAGAUGUUGGUGUUUUCACUGCUUUUGGCCUUUUUUUCUCCCCGGAUUUGCUGCUUCACUUCCGAAACACUUCUAUCGGCUUCUGUUGUCAGUGUUGAGUACACUCUGCGCAGGCGCAAGAGGUCGCUGUUGCAUUCAAACGUGUCGGACAUAAAGGAUCUCUGUGUCGGAGCACAAACUCUUAAUGUUUUAUGCUUUAUCGAAUAACUAGCAAUUUUUACACAGUAGCGACUUUUUGAUAAUAUCACAAUGUAUUAAAUGAAAAAUUCAUUUAUAAUUAUAAAUAAAUAUGUAACAAUAUGCUAUAAAGGGCCGCGGCAAAACACAAGAGUGUACGCAAAGGGUGCCUUGCUCGCCACGCCCCUUGAGCAGAAACUUCCGGGAUUAAAAAUAAUGU